Molecule: ribosomal RNA, 252 nt
Filed under: uncultured bacterium
Lineage: Bacteria
Description: partial 16S ribosomal RNA
Rfam family: Bacterial small subunit ribosomal RNA
Source: RNAcentral
UACGUAGGUCCCGAGCGUUGUCCGGAUUUAUUGGGCGUAAAGCGAGCGCAGGUGGUUUAUUAAGUCUGGUGUAAAAGGCAGUGGCUCAACCAUUGUAUGCAUUGGAAACUGGUAGACUUGAGUGCAGGAGAGGAGCGUGGAAUUCCAUGUGUAGCGGUGAAAUGCGUAGAUAUAUGGAGGAACACCGGUGGCGAAAGCGGCUCUCUGGCCUGUAACUGACACUGAGGCUCGAAAGCGUGGGGAGCAAACAGG